Molecule: long non-coding RNA, 1147 nt
Filed under: Fukomys damarensis (Damara mole-rat)
Lineage: Eukaryota; Metazoa; Chordata; Mammalia; Rodentia; Bathyergidae
Description: lncRNA (ENSFDAG00000021944.1)
Source: RNAcentral
GGGUGCUGGGGUCUCAAUAUUCUCUUUGAGGACAACUCCUCAGUAACCUAACUUCCUUCCACAUCCUGAAGGUUCUGUUACCUCUCCAUAGGUUGGCAACCAAGCCUUUAGCACAUGCUUUUUGGAGGAUUCUCCCAAAUCAUAGCACUGCUGAAUUUCUAAUUUGUGUCAGUUUUCUAGACUCCAGACAUCUCCUGGCUCCGGCUGCUUGCCUCCCUCUGACUGCACCCACAGCCUUGAUAUCUGUGAGUCAAGAAGCAGGACCUAGCAGACAUGGGAUCUGCUGGUUCCUUAACUUGAACUUCUGGCCUCCAGGAGGAUAAAUGUAAGUCCACUGUUUAUAAGCCACCCAGUUUUUUGUGUUGUGUUAUAGCAACCUGGGUUAAGCACGGAUUAACACAAUGGCUAAGAGGGAAAUGGAUUCACCACAAGGGAUAAAUCUGCUGUAUCUUUCAGUCUGACUUGGGGAAUUGUUGAAAAGUCAAAAUUGUUUGGCUGGGAAGCAUUUUGAAUGGACACAGAAGCUUGGCUGUGAGAUUGAGCACCUUGACAUUUCUCAACUGGAGUUUCCACUCGGGUCCUGAUUUUUGGCACCAGAGAGGAGAGAAGCAUUUGGCAUUAGCUGUCAAAAUGAACUGAAGAUUGCUUUUGAUAUUCUGGGUCUCUUCUGGUUUCAUAUAAAUUUUAGGAUUGUUUUUUCUAGAUCUGUUGGUAUUUUGAUUGGGAAGGAGUUAAAUAGACGUAUCAGUUUUGAAAAUAUAGACAUUUUGAUUUUAUUGGUUCUGCCCUCCAGGAACAGGGGAUAUCUUUCCAUUUUCUGAUGUCCUCCUAAAGAAAUGAUGAAAGUAGAGCUUUUGCAAAUAAGGAGGGGACCACUAGUUGCAAGGAGCAGGGGUGGAAGGGUUAAGGAUAGGGGAGGAAAAACAAACAAACAAACAAACAAAUAAACAAAAAAAGAGAGAAUUAAGUUGUGCUAUGUAGGGCUGGGGAUUUAGUGCAGUGGUUCUGUCCACUCCUCGCAAGCCUCAAGGCCCCAAGUUCGAUCCCUGCUACCAAAAAAAUAAAUAAAUAAAUAAAAUAAAGAUGUGCUAUGUACAUAUGUAUGUGUUUUAACUUCCUUGGACAGUUAUAACCAUUAUUCACUGCA